Molecule: long non-coding RNA, 1922 nt
Organism: Papaver somniferum (opium poppy)
Lineage: Eukaryota; Viridiplantae; Streptophyta; Magnoliopsida; Ranunculales; Papaveraceae
Exons: 10
Source: RefSeq, a predicted model, not a curated record
CAGUUCAGAGCUCCAGUUUAGAGAAAAAAAUCAAAGACACAAAUCGCCAUGAUUCAAAACCAUUAUUUCUCCUCAUAUCUAUCAACCUUUUUUUUCCAAAACCGAUACUUUCAAAACCUCUUUUUUUCGGUUUUCAAUCUUCAUCAGACCUUUAGGUGGAUUUAUGUUCACGUAUAACAUCCCCAUCUCUUUGAUUCAAUUUUGUUGGUGUUAAAUUGGAUUCCUCUUAACCUAAUCAACACGAAGAAAUCUAAGUUUCUUAGAAAGAUUUCUCUAUUUCGCGAGGUUGGUCUGAUAUAAUGUUUUUCUGGUAUUGAAAAGGGUUUUGACUGAACGGCUUCAACAAUUUCAUGAGAAACAAAUGUUAAGUCAUUCAAUUUUGGUAUGGGUUUUCAAUUUUUCUCUAUGGGUUUUCUUAAAUGGAAAGUUGUGCUUGAUUGGGGUUUUCCUGGCAUUUAUCUGUGUUGUUGUUGCUAUGGAGGUGCUUCUUGUUAGGUUAGUUACGGGUAUAUGGUUAUGGCUAGUGGGGGCAGAUGUUCUGUGGUCUGUGAAGUUUGAGUUUGGAAGGAAGGACAGGAGGGGGGAACUAUGCGCACCUGGUUAAUCUAGUUGCAAGGAAGGUAUUUUGCAAUACCCAUUAUCACAUUUGAUCUUGUGAAGUUUGAGUUUGGAAUUUGGGAGGUUUAAUUAUAGUCGUGGCUGAUGAAGCUGUGAUUCGCCAUACUUGGGUUGAGCUAGAGCUCAAACAGAUACAUGGUGUCGGGAUAUAUGGCUGGGGUAGUGUAUGUGAGACGAUUGAUGGGGAAUUGUUAGAAUAUAGUCACACAAUCAGCUGGCUUGCGGGAGUCUCAGUGACGGCCUUGUGAAAACAUCAUCUGCUCUUGUUGGAACAUUAUUGAAGACUUAUCAGCGCAGUGGUGGCGCAGGAUCAGCAUUGGCAAGUGCUGUUUGUGCAGCUCCUGCUGCUGCCGUAGCAUGAACCUGUUUCAGCAUACGCAGAGGUAAUGGUGUGCGACCUUGGACUAAGUUCAUACUGUAGUCGGCAUGUAAUUCUGCACUAAUGAAAGUCACAGAAAUGUGAAGUACCGAGUAUUUGGUUUUUGUACUUACCCUUAAGGUUACCACAGGUUGGAAAAAAGCCAUUGGACUGGUAGGCAUGCCUCUGGAAACUAGUAGGCGUGACUGAUAUGGUGCUCACAGGACCGGGAAAGCUUAAACUGCAAAUGGUCAAGGAAGUGGUGAAAAUUCCAAGAUGAAGUAUGAAAGUCAAAGUUUGAUCAUAUAAAUGGUAAUGACUGCAGUUCAUAUGCAUUCAAAAGGUUUCGCACCAGAACAUCAAACCAGAUAAUUUACUUAUGCAUAUUGGACAGAAAACCAAUCAAGUUGGAAAAAAGCCAUUUGCACUGGUAGGCAUGCCUCUGGAAACUAGUACGCGCGACUGAUAUGGUGCUCAAAGGACCGAGAAAGCUUAAACUGAAAAUGGUCAAGGAAGUAAUACACUAUAUGUAUACAUCUUCUGCACCUUUUUAACGGCAAGUAUUUAAGGAAUUUUUUGCAGUAUAUGAUAAAUGGAUAAUACAUUAAUGUGUACACAUAUUGCUCAGGUGGUGAAAAUUCCAAGAUGGAUCAUGAAAAUUAAAGUUUGAUCAUAUAAAUGCUUAGGGAUGAGAUAAUGGACCUGAUUUGAGCUAGUUUCUCAGAAAAUGAAGGCAUAGAUGGUGCAGGUUUUUGUUUGCAGCUUAGUGUGUUGAAGUUUUUAUGGUUAGACUUGUAAUACAGAAAUGUAUGUUAAGGUUUUCCAACUUAGUAUUGAAGUUUUCAAGAUUUGGAACUUGCAGUAUUUUAGAUAACUGAUUUGUAAAGUGAAUACACUUUUCAAUACAAAUUGAGUUUUAAAGUUGUUAUCAAUUUAAUUUUGUAAA